CUUGGUAGCACUGCUCCGGCGAGGCCCUAAGCAGGAUAGCAAGGCGAGGAAAGGCGACGGCUAAGCAAGGUGAGAUGAUUUCUUGUUUUUUGUUUUCUUCUUCUUCCGGCGAUGACAAUCCACUGACGGCUCACAGGAUGGUUCCUAACCUCCGACGAAGUCGAGAAGGAGCCGAAGUCGGACUUUUUCUCUGACUCAAACAGGGGGAACUCUGUUCCCAUUUCUUUUUUUGUUUGACUGCUUCAAUAGUCGUGUGGAAAAAGAUUAGAGGGACGGGUCCUAAUCUUGCAUGUUUGUAGGAUUCGUCUUGCAAGCAUACGACAUCUGUUACAUGGUCGAUUUGGAGCAUGAUGGAUAAAAUGAUAUCAGAGCUUAGGUUUAAGAUCAUUAAGGAUUGUGCUAGAUCAUUAAUAGAAAUAGUGAUAUAAGAGCCCAGGUUCAAUGAUUUUUAUGACUCGUUGGAAAUGUUGAGAGUUGGAUAGAAAUCAGGCGAUAAGAUGUCUUUGUUUGCUUUUCUUGUUGAUAAUUUUAUGUUAUUUUGUCUAAAUUUAUAGAGAUCCUUAUCUUAUUUUCACUUAGAUUAAGAAUGCCAUCCUGCCAUAUCCAUAGCCGAAGAAGUAAAUAAGUUAAUUGGAGUGUUUUUAGGGUAGAGUCCGUGGUAACACGAUGAUUGAGAUCACCUAUUUGAAGGAGUAUCUAGUAUCCUUCUGUAUCCAUCUUUAGAUAUAAGCACUCAUAAAUCAAGCUUUCUCCUUUUAUGGCCAAGGAUAAACACAUUAAAUACCAUAUUUGAUGUAGCUGGUUUUAUUAAUUAUUUAUGGAAAACAAGAUUUAAGGAAAAACUUUAGAUAAUCAUUGCUUCAUGUUUAAGUAUGAAAGCUUGUUAGAUCAUGGUCAUGUUAACUGUUUCUUCACUUUCUGGAUGGCAUGAGGAGCCUUCACCUAAGGGAUGCAGGUACGGCUAAGUGAUAACCUAUCCAGGCUUUUAUGGGUGCAUUGUUGACUUUUUUUUAUCAGUCCCAAAGCUUUGUAAGUAUGUCUCACUUGGAAGCAUAUAUAUCUCUAUUGGAUUCAAGCGAGAUUGUCCGUUGACAUGGUAGUCGAUUUCUCCAUUUCUCCUCCAUUUUUAUCUGAGUAUUUCUUCAGUAGAUCAUUGAUAUCCACUUUUGAACAUAAGCAUUUAUCAAGUAAUAAAUAACAAUACAUCAAACUAUCACAGUCGCCUUUUUUUUAUAUGACUGAAGAUAAGCAUGUAUAAUAUGAAGUUUAACAUGUAUAGCUUUUGUAUUAGUAGGGAAAACAGGUUUUAAGAAUGAUUAAAUAACCAUUGCUUCAUUUAGAUAGGAAAUUAGUAAUCAUGAUCAUGACCUCACCUUGCAAAGCUCUCCUUUUGAUCAAGAUGCAGGCUAGGCCAUAUAUCCUAGAUACAUUUCUUGCGUGCAUUAUCAACUUCACUGACCAUCUGAAAUGUUUUAGGAUUGUUGCACUUGAAGAACAUACCUUUGUUUUGAUCAAGCAGGUUAGUGUGUUGACACGAUACACUCUUUAUCCAUGUUGCCUUCUAGGAUUGUUGCACUUGAAGAACAUACCUUUGUUUUGAUCAAGCAGGUUAGUGUGUUGACAUGAUACGCUCUUUAUCCAUGUUGCCUUCAUGCUUACUCAUGCAGAGAAUAUCCGGGGAUCUGCAGCAACAGUUACUAGUGUUUUUCUCCAGUCUAUGUUUAAGUGAUAACCAUAUUAUAAAAUAAGCAUUCAUCAAGCAAUGAGAAGAACUGGAUGAUCAUUCUUUUUCACUUUAAGUAUAAAUCCCUUCAUGGCUUUGACUAGUUUGCUUUAUGGAUGACGUGAGGGGGCUUUACCUUUUAAGUGCUUCCGUUGAUUAAGGAUGCCCCACUCGAUUGCCUAUUCCGGCUUUCUACAUGCGUUACCCUCUAAAUUUGUUGUUUCAGUCUGAAAUAUUGUUCUAUACUGCAGGUGGAAGACAUAUUACUCCUAGUGAUUCAAGUAGGGUAGCGGGCUGAUUUGGUAGUUUGUAUCUUAUUUCAUCCUUCAUGAUCAUAUAUGGCUUUACCCUUUCUUUUUUAUAUAUUAAAAAAAAAAACUUGUUGGUAUCAUAUUUAGGGGCUUUGAUCAUGAUUUCUCAAUGUUGAUUUUGAGGGAUGCUAAUAAUCCAAAACAGCUACUUUUAGUUUUGAUUUUCAUUGUUUACUGGUCUGAGAAACCGUUGCUAGUUUGAAGUUGAACUGGUGAACUGGUUAUUGGUUAAUGUUGUAGCAUCUGGCGUUAAGGGAAAAAAUAGGAGAGGAGGUUUCCUCUUCUGAUUCAUUUUCCAUUUUUUCCUCUUCUAAUGAGAGAGAGAGAGAGAGAAGGCAUGGAGGUCUUCCCUACCUCCCCCGUAGUUUGUGGAAUGGGUGGCCAAACUGCUUGAACCACCUUGAACCAAGCUGAACCAAAAGGUUCAUCUUGCUUUGUGUCGGUACCACCUGGUUUGGGUGCUGAACUGCUUCAAGGCAUGACUUCAUGCUGAUUCUAACCUGGUACAGAUUGGUACCCUCUGAACCAUGCUGUUUGCAUUGUUAUGGCACACGAUGGCUAAGAUAUGUUGGCCGAAUAUGACCCAUAUCAUAUAUUAUGAAAUGAUUAUAAAUCAUCAAUGAUGAACCACUAUCAAGAAAUUACAUUUGGUUUUUCUGUGAUGCAUUGAGAUACCAUUGUGUAUUGAGUGGUAGAAAUAAAAUUCAAGUUAUAAAUAACUGACAUAUGUAGUUCAUGAUAAUAAUAUUUUAAUAUUAUCCAAUGGUUAUAAUUGUUAUAGAAUAUUUACUAUUAAUUAUAAAUUUAUGUGUUUAUUUUUGUGUGUGUAUGUGUGUAUGCAAAUUCUCACUGAGUUGUUAACUCAUGAUACUUUUUGUCUUUCUUUCAGAGCCACAGAGAUUCAGGAUUUGGUAGUAUGUGAUGAAGAGGAUUUAGAACAUCUAUAAUACCACUAGAUGUUUAGACAUUGUAGUUGAACUAUUUUUUUUUUAACAUAAAACGGGCCAUUUUAUUGCAUUUUGUUUUUGAGAAAGGUGAUUAUGUUGUCAAUGUUUUGUUCAUUAAUAGGCCUCGUAUAAUGUGUGGUCGUGUCACAUGCCUGCGUGCGUUGUGGGUUUGGGAUGUGAUACACUUUCAUGUGCACCCACUUGAUAGCCAAUUUAGACUUUUAUGAUGCAUUACUAAAUUUGUGAUUGCUCUAAAAUAUUGUCUCUGUUGCAUUUGAGAAUCAUACUCCUAUAUAAUUCAAGUAGUUAGCAGGUUGACAUGGAAGGUUUUUAUUCAUGGACACUGAAAUCAGCAUAUCUUUCAUUCCGUUUUUUGCUUGCAUGCAUUUGUUAAACAAUAAAAAAGUUUACAAACAAACUCGUAAUCCAGUUGUCCUUGUUGGGAUCUGGUAAAGUGCAAAUAAAAUGUUUACCAAAGCUACAAUUGCUGAUUUAGCAACUUCACAAUCGUGUUUGGCAACAAAUCCAUGAGUUGCACCAAAUAUUGCCACUUGCCAACAUGAUUGCUUGCAAGCAUGUUAUGAACUGGGAAGCAUUACCUUUGUUUUUGGGGGGUAUUAGCGGGUAAGGGACGUUACAACAGCUAAUUCUCUUUAAUGGCCAAAGAUAUCGAUGGUUGAAUGCCAUAUAUGCAAAUUUAUUUGUCAUUAGUUUCCCCAAAAAGCUUUUUUUUUUAAGGUAAAAGUAUCUAAUUAUUGCCUCAUCUUAUAUAAUAACAAUAUAAAGAAUCUUGCUAACAAUGAUAAUCUAACUUUUGCCCCAACGCAUUCAAGAGCCUGGAAAACCAAUGUGUUGUUGGUGGGUGCAAGGAGUACGUCCAGUUCUUUUCAUGCUGUAACAAGGUACUGAUAUUAAGAAAUACCGGCUUCAUCUUCCUAUGAGCCAAUUACUCCUUCAGGUUCAUAUUAUGGAAUCACAUCUAUAUUGCCUGCAGAUUAAUUUAACUCUCUUUUCUUUCAUUUUCUCUUCCCUCCUUCACUUUCUCUAUUUCCAUGUCUUGUUGGCUUGCUUUCUGUAUGUCCGGUUCUUGAGUAGGAGUAGAGAGGUAGUUGAUUUUUUGUACAAGGAAGAGACAUCAAGAACAUUAUCAUAAUCUAUUAAAAUAAUGAUGAUGAUAAUAAUAAUAAUGAAAAUUUAUUUCUUAAGAGAUUAUUGGAUCUCUUUGCUUCUAUUAUAAGAUGUUUAAAUCUGGUCUGCAUGUCAAUGGACAUAACCUUAUAUAUAUUGCUUCUUAAAGUUGAUAUUUUCUCAUUUUUAAGUUAUAAAAUCCAUUAUGCUGGUUGGAUCUUUGAUUUUGUAAAACCAUUAAUCUGGUCUGAACCAAUGCGGUUGAAUCAGACUGGAUAUUUUUGGUUUUUUAAAGCAUAUUGGACUGUUAUGCUGCUGUAGAAUGGUGCAAGGACCUAACUGUAAAUCUGCAUCUAUAGAUACGUACUGAUUGAAAAGGACCUAAUCAUAGAGCAGUAUUUUGCAGAUUUAAUCCGAUCACUAGUUCAGGUGAACCAAACUUGUUAUGGUUUAAGGCUGAGUCAGAUCUGUCCUGUUAUGCAAAUGGAAAAAUAGAGCAUGGACCCUCACAUAGUUUUUCAGGAAUCUGUUUAAAUGUGAAUCCGUGUUUACAGUAAUGGACAGUAGGGAACUAUAUUUAAAAGCAUGCUUGUUUAUUUCCAUUUCUUUAAUUUAUAUGCUAUGUAAUUGAUUCAUAUGCAAAUGAAAUACUAAAGGCCUAUUCAUGUCUCAAAUUAUCUUAAUGAUUGAUUAACCUA
This 4807-nucleotide long non-coding RNA is filed under the name Elaeis guineensis (African oil palm). RNAcentral describes it as "long non-coding RNA (EGUI_LNC025170)". Lineage: Eukaryota; Viridiplantae; Streptophyta; Magnoliopsida; Arecales; Arecaceae. The record is from RNAcentral.